RNAcentral lists this ribosomal RNA (51 nucleotides) under Salmonella enterica subsp. enterica. Its description in RNAcentral is "partial 23S ribosomal RNA". The record is from RNAcentral. Lineage: Bacteria; Pseudomonadati; Pseudomonadota; Gammaproteobacteria; Enterobacterales; Enterobacteriaceae.
GUUAAGCGACUAAGCGUACAAGGUGUAUGUCCUGGCAGUCAGAGGCGAUGA